GGGCUCAACCUGGGAACUGCCUUUGUGACUGCAUAGCUAGAGUACGGUAGAGGGGGAUGGAAUUCCGCGUGUAGCAGUGAAAUGCGUAGAUAUGCGGAGGAACACCGAUGGCGGAGGCAAUCCCCUGGACCUGUACUGACGCUCAUGCACGAAAGCGUGGGGAGCAAACAGGGUUAGAUACCCUGGUAGUCCACGCCCUAAACGAUGUCAACUGGUUGUUGGGAGGGUUUCUUCUCAGUAACGUGGCUAACGCGUGAAGUUGACCGCCUGGGGAGUACGGCCGCAAGGUUGAAACUCAAAGGAAUUGACGGGGACCCGCACAAGCGGUGGAUGAUGUGGUUUAAUUCGAUGCAACGCGAAAAACCUUACCUACCCUUGACAUGCCAGGAAUCCUGCAGAGAUGUGGGAGUGCUCGAAAGAGAACCUGGACACAGGUGCUGCAUGGCCGUCGUCAGCUCGUGUCGUGAGAUGUUGGGUUAAGCCCCGCAACGAGCGCAACCCUUGUCAUUAGUUGCUACGAAAGGGCACUCUAAUGAGACUGCCGGUGACAAACCGGAGGAAGGUGGGGAUGACGUCAGGUCAUCAUGGCCCUUAUGGGUAGGGCUACACACGUCAUACAAUGGCCGGGACAGAGGGCUGCCAACCCGCGAGGGGGAGCUAAUCCCAGAAACCCGGUCGUAGUCCGGAUCGCAGUCUGCAACUCGACUGCGUGAAGUCGGAAUCGCUAGUAAUCGCGGAUCAGCUUGCCGCGGUGAAUACGUUCCCGGGUCUUGUACACACCGCCCGUCACACCAUGGGAGCGGGUUCUGCCAGAAGUAGUUAGCCUAACCGCAAGGAGGGCGAUUACCACGGCAGGGUUCGUGACUGGGGUGAAGUCGUAACAAGGUAGCCGUAUCGGAAGGUGCGGCUGGAUCACCUCCUU
This 922-nucleotide ribosomal RNA is filed under the name uncultured Roseateles sp. Its description in RNAcentral is "bacterial SSU rRNA". It matches the Rfam family "Bacterial small subunit ribosomal RNA", at positions 605 to 1532 of the family's 1533-position model. The record is from RNAcentral. Lineage: Bacteria; Pseudomonadati; Pseudomonadota; Betaproteobacteria; Burkholderiales; Sphaerotilaceae.